This 271-nucleotide ribosomal RNA is filed under the name uncultured Lactobacillus sp. RNAcentral's name for it is "partial 16S ribosomal RNA". It matches the Rfam family "Bacterial small subunit ribosomal RNA", at positions 261 to 524 of the family's 1533-position model. The record is from RNAcentral. Lineage: Bacteria; Bacillati; Bacillota; Bacilli; Lactobacillales; Lactobacillaceae.
GGCUUUACCAAGGGCGAUGAUGCAUAGCCGAGUUGAGAGACUGAUCGGCCACAUUGGGACUGAGACACGGCCAAAACUCCUACGGGAGGCAGCAGUAGGAAUCUUCCACAAUGGACGCAAGUCUGAUGGAGCAACGCCGCGUGAGUGAAGAAGGUUUUCGGAUCGUAAAAGCUCUGUUGUUGGUGAAGAAGGAUAGAGGUAGUAACUGGCCUUUAUUUGACGGUAAUCAACCAGAAGUCACGGCUAACUACGUGCCAGCAGCCGCGGUAAU